Molecule: RNase P RNA, 144 nt
Filed under: Methanobacteriota archaeon
Lineage: Archaea; Methanobacteriati; Methanobacteriota
Description: Euryarchaeota archaeon partial RNase P RNA component
Rfam family: Archaeal RNase P
About the family: Ribonuclease P (RNase P) is a ubiquitous endoribonuclease, found in archaea, bacteria and eukarya as well as chloroplasts and mitochondria.
Source: RNAcentral
GGGAGCAGGAGGGUCGCUGACAGUGUACGACACUGAGGAAAGUCCCCUCUCCAUGAUGCGAGUGGCUCGACGCAAGUCGAGGGUCCGGGAGGGCCGGCUCUGCAACAGAAACGAACUGCCCCGGGAGUACGAUGAAUCCGUGAG